Molecule: ribosomal RNA, 465 nt
Filed under: Vreelandella stevensii
Lineage: Bacteria; Pseudomonadati; Pseudomonadota; Gammaproteobacteria; Oceanospirillales; Halomonadaceae
Description: partial 16S ribosomal RNA
Rfam family: Bacterial small subunit ribosomal RNA
Source: RNAcentral
CCUACGGGAGGCUGCAGUGGGGAAUAUUGGACAAUGGGGGGAACCCUGAUCCAGCCAUGCCGCGUGUGUGAAGAAGGCCCUCGGGUUGUAAAGCACUUUCAGUGAGGAAGAACGCCUGGUGGUUAAUACCCAUCAGGAAAGACAUCACUCACAGAAGAAGCACCGGCUAACUCCGUGCCAGCAGCCGCGGUAAUACGGAGGGUGCGAGCGUUAAUCGGAAUUACUGGGCGUAAAGCGCGCGUAGGUGGCUUGAUAAGCCGGUUGUGAAAGCCCCGGGCUCAACCUGGGAACGGCAUCCGGAACUGUCAAGCUAGAGUGCAGGAGAGGAAGGUAGAAUUCCCGGUGUAGCGGUGAAAUGCGUAGAGAUCGGGAGGAAUACCAGUGGCGAAGGCGGCCUUCUGGACUGACACUGGCACUGAGGUGCGAAAGCGUGGGUAGCAAACAGGAUUAGAUACCCGUGUAGUC